GCUCACGUGGCCCAGCGGCUAGGGCACCGCAUUGUCGAUGCGGCGAUUCGCGGGUUCGAGUCCCGUCGUGAGCGCAA
RNAcentral lists this transfer RNA (77 nucleotides) under Lentzea aerocolonigenes. Its description in RNAcentral is "Lechevalieria aerocolonigenes tRNA-Asp". It matches the Rfam family "tRNA". From Rfam's summary of the family: Transfer RNA (tRNA) molecules are approximately 80 nucleotides in length. Their secondary structure includes four short double-helical elements and three loops (D, anti-codon, and T loops). The record is from RNAcentral. Lineage: Bacteria; Bacillati; Actinomycetota; Actinomycetes; Pseudonocardiales; Pseudonocardiaceae.